CGUGAAGCUGGAUUCGCUAGUAAUCGCGCAUCAGCCAUGGCGCGGUGAAUACGUUCCCGGGCCUUGUACACGCCGCCCGUCAAGCCAUGGAAGCCGGGAGUGCCUGAAGUGUGCAACCGCAAGGAGCGCCCUAAGGUAAAACUGGUGACUGGGGCUAAGUCGUAACAAGGUACC
This 174-nucleotide ribosomal RNA is filed under the name uncultured bacterium. RNAcentral's name for it is "partial 16S ribosomal RNA". It matches the Rfam family "Bacterial small subunit ribosomal RNA", at positions 1319 to 1500 of the family's 1533-position model. The record is from RNAcentral.